RNAcentral lists this ribosomal RNA (452 nucleotides) under Alcaligenes sp. RNAcentral's name for it is "bacterial SSU rRNA". It matches the Rfam family "Bacterial small subunit ribosomal RNA", at positions 353 to 794 of the family's 1533-position model. The record is from RNAcentral. Lineage: Bacteria; Pseudomonadati; Pseudomonadota; Betaproteobacteria; Burkholderiales; Alcaligenaceae.
UGGCGGAUCUUUCGGACAAUGGGCGGAAAGUCCUGAUCCAGCCAUGCCCGCGUGUGUGAUGAAGGCCUUCGGGUUGUAAAGCACUUUUGUUAGAGAAGAAAGGGUGUCCCCUAAUACGGUAUACUGCUGACGGUAUCUGCAGAAUAAGCACCGGCUAACUACGUGCCAGCAGCCGCGGUAAUACGUAGGGUGCAAGCGUUAAUCGGAAUUACUGGGCGUAAAGCGUGUGUAGGCGGUUCGGAAAGAAAGAUGUGAAAUCCCCGGGCUCAACCUUGGAACUGCAUUUUUAACUGGCGAGCUAGAGUAUGUCAGAGGGGGGUGGAAUUCCACGUGUAGCAGUGAAAUGCGUAGAUAUGUGGAGGAAUACCGAUGGCGAAGGCAACUCCCUGGGAUAAUACUGACGCUCAGACACGAAAGCGUGGGGAGCAAACAGGAUUAGAUACCCCAGUAGU